GACGAACGCUGGCGGCGUGCCUAAUACAUGCAAGUAGAACGCUGAAGAGAGGGGCUUGCUCUUCUUGGAUGAGUUGCGAACGGGUGAGUAACGCGUAGGUAACCUGCCUUGUAGCGGGGGAUAACUAUUGGAAACGAUAGCUAAUACCGCAUAACAAUGGAUGACACAUGUCAUUUAUUUGAAAGGGGCAAUUGCUCCACUACAAGAUGGACCUGCGUUGUAUUAGCUAGUAGGUGAGGUAAUGGCUCACCUAGGCGACGAUACAUAGCCGACCUGAGAGGGUGAUCGGCCACACUGGGACUGAGACACGGCCCAGACGCCUACGGGAGGCAGCAGUAGGGAAUCUUCGGCAAUGGGGGCAACCCUGACCGAGCAACGCCGCGUGAGUGAAGAAGGGUUUCGGAUCGUAAAGAUCUGUUGUAAGUCAAGAACGGGUGUGAGAGUGGAAAGUUCACACUGUGACGGUAGCUUACCAGAAAGGGACGGCUAACUACGUG
RNAcentral lists this ribosomal RNA (497 nucleotides) under uncultured bacterium. RNAcentral's name for it is "partial 16S ribosomal RNA". It matches the Rfam family "Bacterial small subunit ribosomal RNA", at positions 28 to 507 of the family's 1533-position model. The record is from RNAcentral.